This 164-nucleotide ribosomal RNA is filed under the name Tovomita sp. SM24700. RNAcentral describes it as "5.8S ribosomal RNA". It matches the Rfam family "5.8S ribosomal RNA". Rfam says of the family: 5.8S ribosomal RNA (5.8S rRNA) is a component of the large subunit of the eukaryotic ribosome. It is transcribed by RNA polymerase I as part of the 45S precursor that also contains 18S and 28S rRNA. The record is from RNAcentral. Lineage: Eukaryota; Viridiplantae; Streptophyta; Magnoliopsida; Malpighiales; Clusiaceae.
ARAACGACUCUCGGCAACGGAUAUCUCGGCUCUCGCAUCGAUGAAGAACGUAGCGAAAUGCGAUACUUGGUGUGAAUUGCAGAAUCCCGUGAACCAUCGAGUCUUUGAACGCAAGUUGCGCCCAAAGCCUUCCGGUCGAGGGCACGUCUGCCUGGGUGUCACAA